GAUGAACGCUGGCGGCGUGCCUAACACAUGCAAGUCGAGCGAAGCACUUUGCUUAGAUUCUUCGGAUGAAGAGGAUUGUGACUGAGCGGCGGACGGGUGAGUAACGCGUGGGUAACCUGCCUCAUACAGGGGGAUAACAGUUAGAAAUGACUGCUAAUACCGCAUAAGACCACAGCGCCGCAUGGUGCGGGGGUAAAAACUCCGGUGGUAUGAGAUGGACCCGCGUCUGAUUAGCUAGUUGGUAAGGUAACGGCUUACCAAGGCGACGAUCAGUAGCCGACCUGAGAGGGUGACCGGCCACAUUGGGACUGAGACACGGCCCAAACUCCUACGGGAGGCAGCAGUGGGGAAUAUUGCACAAUGGGGGAAACCCUGAUGCAGCGACGCCGCGUGAGCGAAGAAGUAUUUCGGUAUGUAAAGCUCUAUCAGCAGGGAAGAAAAUGACG
This 446-nucleotide ribosomal RNA is filed under the name uncultured bacterium. RNAcentral's name for it is "bacterial SSU rRNA". It matches the Rfam family "Bacterial small subunit ribosomal RNA", at positions 28 to 456 of the family's 1533-position model. The record is from RNAcentral.